ACCACCCAGUAUUCUGGCCUAUGCCCCAUAAUCUCUCCCUCAAUUAACUCUCUCCAUCUCUCCUUCCCAUCUCGUGCACAUUGCCGAGCUCUCCAUGCCCUUCGUUGCCUCUCAUCUCUCGCCCAGCACGAGUUUCUGACCCACACCUCUGCGGCCUCCGUCGCACCUCAUCGUCGCGCCAACUUCUCCGUCGACCGCGCGUGGACUGACCCACCACCUGCCCGCCGACGAGCUCGUAACCUCCCUCGCCACCGUGCUUAAUUCCGCCAGGAUUAGGCCCUGUUUCACCUGCAGUUUUAGCCUCUGAUCCACUUCGCCUGAGCGCCUUCUUGGUUUGGAAACGAGGCCAGCUGGGAUAGGAUCUCUCACGCCAUGCAGGAGACAGGAGUAGUGUGGAUUGCCAGGUGACGUUGCAUCUCAGCGUCACAUGUACAGGUAGGCGACGAUGGUAAGCACAUGUAGUCCCGAUUGAUGCACUAGUUUGAAACUGCAUUGUACGUAUCAUUAUUUCACCACGAAUGAAUGUAUGAGGCAUAGCUUGUAUUGUCUUUUUUCGUUGGGACAUUUCCCUUAUUUGAAGCAUUGUAGAGUUCUUCUCCAUCUCUCUAGGAUUUGUUCAUCAAAUUUUGCUAAGUCUGUCGCAUAAUUAUGUCUUGAAUUGCAGGAAGCACAGAAGAAGCUCGUAAGAUUCAACACGUCUUUCUGCAAGGCCACGGUGCCGUUGACAACGUCUUCGCACGUAUGCUUGCAGAUCGUGUUACUGUGGUAGAUGGUGCAGUGCUUCAUGAUCACCAUGGAAGCAAAUUCUCCGUUUAACUAAGACAGAUGUUCACAAUUGUGGAAAACUAUCCCGAUGUUUAAAUUAUAUAUAUUCCCUGUUUGUUUGAAACAAGUAUACGUUUGUAUGGAAGUAAUUCUCUGAUGUAUGAAAAUAGUAUCAAAUGAUUUUGAAGCAAAAUAUAUAUCCUUGGAAGCAUGGCGUCUGCAUUGUGCCCAGACGAUACAAACCCUAGUCACAUGCAUUAUUUUUGUUGUAUAUGGGA
This 1043-nucleotide long non-coding RNA is filed under the name Triticum aestivum (bread wheat). Its description in RNAcentral is "long non-coding RNA (TAES_LNC014880)". The record is from RNAcentral. Lineage: Eukaryota; Viridiplantae; Streptophyta; Magnoliopsida; Poales; Poaceae.